This is a long non-coding RNA of Helianthus annuus (common sunflower), 822 nucleotides long. RefSeq lists it as uncharacterized. NCBI's taxonomy places the organism in Eukaryota, Viridiplantae, Streptophyta, Magnoliopsida, Asterales, Asteraceae. The record is from RefSeq and is a predicted model, not a curated record. The transcript has 3 exons.
UUCAAAGGCUUUUGACCCACUCAGAUCAUCAACAAUCUCAUUUUAUUCGAUCCUCAACGGAAAUAUUUUCAAUUUUCCAUCAGAGCGUUGGAGAAUCGAACAACUUAGAAGUCAUCUACAAUUUGUUCAGCAGUACUAGUUGAAAACAACUUUGAACAAAUGGAGGUUGACACCACUCUGAGUCCUAGAGUCAACUCAGUACAGCCUUCAAAAACAACGGCUAUAACUAACCAAGCCACUGCACUUGUAGAAGCUGGUGUUCCUGUCAUUCGUUUAUCUGCUGGACAACCUGAUUUUGACACCCCUGCGGUAAUUGCUCAGGCUGGAAUAAACGCAAUUUGUGAAGGUUACACAAAGUAUACUCCUAAUGCUGGUACCAUGGAACUACGAACAGCGAUAUGCAAGAAACUAAAGGGUGAUCUCUGAUGAAUUAUACGAGCACAUAAUAUACACACCAGCUGUACACACGAGCUUUGCAUCUUUGCCUGGCAUGUGGGAACGUACACUAACAGUCAACGGGUUCUCUAAGGUACUUAGUUGCAUUAGUGAUUUGGUUCUCUACAAAUGCACUCAAAAGGUGUAUUUAUUAAAUAAAUUAUCAUCAUUUACUGUCAUAUUAGCCAUGGCUCACUUAAUCUGCAUUUCCCUAGGCUUUUGCAAUGACUGUUUGGGAGAGUUGGAUAUAUUGCUGGUCCUAAACACUUCAUUGCUGCGUGUGAUAAAAUUCAAAGUCAGGUGCAUAGUUUCGCAUUAAAGCUACUAUAAGAAUCUUAUUCAUUCAAACAGCAUGUAAUUAUGUCAUAUCAGCCAUGGCUCACUUAA